This 87-nucleotide transfer RNA is filed under the name bacterium. RNAcentral describes it as "tRNA-Leu". It matches the Rfam family "tRNA". From Rfam's summary of the family: Transfer RNA (tRNA) molecules are approximately 80 nucleotides in length. The record is from RNAcentral.
GCCGGGGUGGUGGAAUUGGCAGACGCGCUAGGUUCAGGACCUAGUGAGCUUCGGCUCGUGCGGGUUCGAGUCCCGCCUCCGGCACCA